Molecule: long non-coding RNA, 1173 nt
Filed under: Eucalyptus grandis
Lineage: Eukaryota; Viridiplantae; Streptophyta; Magnoliopsida; Myrtales; Myrtaceae
Description: long non-coding RNA (EGRA_LNC007361)
Source: RNAcentral
AUAGUCCCUGCAAUCACCAAGAAUCUUCUAUCUGUAUCGAAACUGACAGAUGACUAUCCCUGCUCUUUUAUUUUUGACAAACAUGGGGUAUAUCUGAAGGACAAUCACAAUCAUACAACAGUGAAGCUAGGAAGGAAAGUCAAGGGGCUUUACCAGGUGGAACCUAAAGCUGCAGAAGCUUUCUUCAUACAGACUCAACAGGAAGUAGCAGAAGAUAUCUGGCAUCAAAGGCUUGCUCACACCAAUCUUAAAACAAUGAACAUUCUGCAGAAACAAAAUCUCAUUCGGCUUAGUUCCAAAAUUCAGAAUAUAUGUGGUAGCUGUCAAAUUGCUAAAAGCUCAGCUUUAUCUUUUCACUUCUCAGACCAUAUUUCUAAAGUUCCAUUAGAAAGAAUACAUUGUGAUGUAUGGGGACCUUCACCAAUUCAAUCUGUUCAGAAAUUCUCCUACUAUGUCAUUUUUGUGGAUGAUUUUUCUCGGUACAGCUGGAUAUAUCCCAUGAGACAGAAAUCAGAAGUAUAUGAGAUAUUCGUUAUGUUUCAAAGACUUGUAGAAAAUCAGCUUAGUCACAAGAUAAAAAUCUUCCAGAGUGAUGGAGGUGGUGAGUUCACUAGUAAUAAAUUCCAACUUCAUCUACAGAAGUGUGGAAUUCAGCAAUUCAUCUCCUGUCCUCACACACCAGAGCAAAAUGGUGUCUCGGAAAGAAAACAUAGACAUGUAAUCGAAUUAGGAUUAGCAAUGAUGUAUCAUGCUAAAGUACCACUGAAAUAUUGGGUCGAUGCAUUCAAAACAGCAGUUUAUGUUAUCAAUCUUCUUCCCACAGCAAAACUACAUAUGCAUUCACCUCAUUACCAGCUUUACAAUAAGACACCAGACUACUAUUAUCUUCGUGUUUUUGGAUCAGCUUGUUAUCCAUGUCUCAGGCACUAUACAAAGCAUAAAUUUGAUCCAAGAUCUCUCACAUGUAUCUUUCUUGGCUACAGUGAGAAGCACAAAGGAUACAGAUGUCUCUUACCUACAAAUGGAAGAAUCUACAUCAGCAGACAUGUAAUUUUUGAUGAAAAUGUCUUUCCCUUUAUUCAUACACUUAGUACUGAAUAUCAGAAGGGAUCUGAUCUAUACAGACAGUGGAUAAAAGGAGUCCUAUCUUCUAGUUCCAACUCUACUAAGAAG